RNAcentral lists this long non-coding RNA (1966 nucleotides) under Fukomys damarensis (Damara mole-rat). RNAcentral's name for it is "lncRNA (ENSFDAG00000028255.1)". The record is from RNAcentral. Lineage: Eukaryota; Metazoa; Chordata; Mammalia; Rodentia; Bathyergidae.
GGGAAGCGCAGGCUCCGGGCGGGGACCGAACCAUGAGAGCGAGGGAUGGAGAUGGGGGUCGGGGGCUGGGAAAGGAGGAUGAGAGGCAGGAGGUGGGAGAAGAGGAAAGGGAAACAGAGCUCAUGGAGAAAAGCCCAGGAGUGGGGUGCCCUUGGCCCUGGAAGAAAGGCGACACAGGCUGGGCCCGCUGAUGUGUUUGGGGAGCUGGCUCCAUGGAAGCCCCUUGAGGAGACCCAGCCCUGGCCUUCAGGAGCUCCAAGCCCCGCGAGGACUCCAAGUGCAGGCCUGAACAGCGGCUCAAGUGCAACUGACUGCAGUCGGCUUCUCGGAGGAGGUGGCCUCAGGCAGGGCCGGAAAGGUCACGCACCGCUCAGAGAACAGUGUGAGAGAAAAGCAGAGCCACCUGAAGGGGCCACCUGAGCUGCCUCCACUUGCUCACAGAGGAGGGGAACUGCUGUCCCCUCAGGAAACAUUAGGCCAGGAGGAAUGAUGGGUGCACAGGUGCCAGGGGCUGGAUCUCAAAGGUGAAGACCAGACCCAGGAGAGGGAGUAUCCGGAUGGUGAUUGUGGGCAGUUAGAGCUUUAAGUGGCCUUGUGGAGAUCCUGGGGUCCACUGCGGCUCACAUGUGAUAGGAUUCCUGUGGCCAGGGAACAACAGGAAGCGGGAAACUUGCUGGAUGUGAAAGGUUAGGUUCACAGGUGCAAAGGCUGCUGACCCUCAUCCAUGGACAGGUAAAGGAUGACCAUCAGGACGGAUGGAAGCCUUCGCAUGACCAGAAGACUGGAGUGCCCACAAUACCUUGUUUAUAUGUAAACCUCCUAAGACCUAAACCCAACCUGAGGUAUAUCUGCUUGAAUGCAGGAUGAGCUGCCGGGACACAGAAAAUCAAACAUACAAUGACUUAAGCAACUAACUGGGCGUCCGUGUGCCGUGGAGGCUCUGCUUUACGAGACCCAUGUAGGACACACACUCCUGUACCAUUUCUGCCCACACCGUGGGGCACUGCCCUUAUUCGUGUGGUCACACUGGCGUCCCAACUUCUUCGGCUUGUGCAGCCCACAAAAAGUAGGUGGGAAAGGAGGGGCUAUUGAUUUCUUUUAAAGAAAGUGUGAAGAUUUUAUUUUGUUUUCUUUUUUAGGAUCGAGGAUGGAAUCCAGGGGCUCUCUGCCAUUGAGCUACAUACCCAGCUCUUUCUAUUUGUUUUAAGACAGGGUCUCACUAAGUUGCCCAGGCUGGCCUUGAACACGUAAUCCUCCUGCCUCAGUCUCCCUAGUAGCUGGAAUUACAAGCCAUUAUGUCACUUGAAUAACAUUGGCAAGCACCAAUCAUGUAGCCACGAGGCAGCUGUUUCAUUCUUAAUGUCAGUGCUUGUGACUUCCUUGGUAUUUGUGUCUUUGUCAGUGUUUGUGUUUUUCAUUCUUGCUAGCGCUUUGUCAAUUUUGUUGAUCUUCUCAAAGAACCAGCUUUUGUUUCACUGGUUUUUCCAUUUCUGUUUUUCUGUUUUUUAUUUUAUUGAUUUCUGCUCUUACCUUUAUCAUCAUCAUCAUCAUCAUCAUCAUCAUCAUUUCCUUUUCCUGCUGACUUUGAGUUUAUUUUGCUUUUCUUUUCCUAAGUUGAGGUGGGAGCUUACAUUUUUGAUUUGAGACUUCUCUUUCAACAUAAACUUUGAAUGCCGUAAAUUUCCCUUCCAGUAUUAUUUUAACUGUGCCUCACAAAUUUUAACGUAUUUGUUGCAUUUUGGUUUUUAUUUAGUUCCACAUAUUUUUCAAACUUUCUUUACUACCUCCCCUUUUACCCAUGGAUCACAUAGUAUAAUAUUGUUUAGUCUCCAUGUUUUUGGAGAUUUGCAGCUCUUUUUCAUUUUAAUUUCUAGUUUAACUCCACUGAGGCCAGAGAAUGAACAUAUUCUGUAUGAAUUCAAUUCUUUUAAAUUCAUUGAGAUUUUCUUAUGGAUCUGGUCUAUCC